Molecule: non-coding RNA, 205 nt
Organism: Oryza glaberrima (African rice)
Lineage: Eukaryota; Viridiplantae; Streptophyta; Magnoliopsida; Poales; Poaceae
Source: Rfam
AUAUAGGGGAUUUUUGAGUUUUUGCUUGUAACGUUUGACUACUCGUCUUAUUCAAUUUUUUUUAAAAAAAUUAUUAUUUAUAUUUGUGACUUACUUUAUUAUCCACAGUACUUUAAGCGCAACUUUUCAUUUUUGAUAUUUGCAAAAAAAAUUUGAAUAAGACGAGUGGUCAAACGUUGCAAGUAAAAACUCAAAAGCCCUUAUA